This is a non-coding RNA of Cinara cedri, 574 nucleotides long. The record is from the annotation of a GenBank genome assembly. NCBI's taxonomy places the organism in Eukaryota, Metazoa, Arthropoda, Insecta, Hemiptera, Aphididae.
CAUCAAAUACAACUGAGCAACUACCCUAAAUCCUAAAGCCCAGAAUCCGAAGACAGAUGGUAGAAUACUAAAAUUCAAUCACAAUAAGUAAUUAAUAAAAACGGGUCGUAAGCCCGUAAUUUACUUUUCUAUGGGUGAGGUUAUGUCAGAAUAUUGAUAAUAUCUUAAAUUUUUUACAGAAACAAUUGUAGUUUUUGUAAGUAGUUUUUAUUCUCACAUAGUCAUAUCUUCUUGAUUUUAUAUGCAAUGGCGAAAGAAAAAUAUAGAUUUCUGAACACUUGCAAUAGGCAUAUGCAUUGGCUUGACUACUUGUGAGUAUCUAUUAGUUCAUUUGUAUACAUUAGUGUUAUUUGCCUGUAUUGGCCAAUUGUUUUAUUAUUUUAAAUUUUGUAACCUUAAGAAAUUUGGAAAACGAGCAUAGACCAAUCAAUGUGCGAAUUCAAUGCAAACAUAAUGGGUUGAAACAGACACUGUACUUGCACAUCAACUCUAAAUUGAAGCUAUUGAAAAAGUGUAAACAAAAAAAUCAAGUAAUUUUACUGCACCUACCUACUGUUGUUACUAAUUUUUGAAA